GUGGUAAAGGCUCACCAAGGCGACGAUCUGUAGCGGGUCUGAGAGGAUGAUCCGCCACACUGGAACUGAGACACGGUCCAGACUCCUACGGGAGGCAGCAGUGGGGAAUUUUGGACAAUGGGGGCAACCCUGAUCCAGCCAUGCCGCGUGAGUGAAGAAGGCCUUCGGGUUGUAAAGCUCUUUCGGCCGGGAAGAAAUCGUAUGGGUUAAUACCCUGUGCGGAUGACGGUACCGGCAUAAGAAGCACCGGCUAACUACGUGCCAGCAGCCGCGGUAAUACGUAGGGUGCGAGCGUUAAUCGGAAUUACUGGGCGUAAAGCGUGCGCAGGCGGUUUUGUAAGACAGGCGUGAAAUCCCCGGGCUCAACCUGGGAACUGCGCUUGUGACUGCAAGGCUAGAGUAUGGCAGAGGGGGGUGGAAUUCCACGUGUAGCAGUGAAAUGCGUAGAGAUGUGGAGGAACACCAAUGGCGAAGGCAGCCCCCUGGGCCAAUACUGACGCUCAUGCACGAAAGCGUGGGUAGCAAACAGGAUUAGAUACCCUGGUAGUCCACGCCCUAAACGAUGUCAACUAGGUGUUGGGUGGGUAAAACCAUUUAGUACCGGAGCUAACGCGUGAAGUUGACCGCCUGUGGAGUACGGCCGCAAGGUUAAAACUCAAAGGAAUUGACGGGGACCCGCACAAGCGGUGGAUGAUGUGGAUUAAUUCGAUGCAACGCGAAAAACCUUACCUACCCUUGACAUGUCCAGAAGCCUGAAGAGAUUUGGGUGUGCCCGAAAGGGAACUGGAACACAGGUGCUGCAUGGCUGUCGUCAGCUCGUGUCGUGAGAUGUUGGGUUAAGUCCCGCAACGAGCGCAACCCUUGUCGUUAAUUGCCAUCAUUUAGUUGGGCACUUUAACGAGACUGCCGGUGACAAACCGGAGGAAGGUGGGGAUGACGUCAAGUCCUCAUGGCCCUUAUGGGUAGGGCUUCACACGUCAUACAAUGGUCGGUACAAAGGGUUGCCAACCCGCGAGGGGGAGCCAAUCCCAGAAAGCCGAUCGUAGUCCGGAUUGCAGGCUGCAACUCGCCUGCAUGAAGUCGGAAUCGCUAGUAAUCGUGGAUCAGCAUGUCACGGUGAAUACGUUCCCGGGUCUUGUACACACCGCCCGUUACACCAUGGGAGCGGGUUCCGCCAGAAGUAGGUAGCCUAACCGCAAGGGGGGCGCUUACCACGGCGGGGUUCGUGACUGGGGUGAAGUCGUAACAAGGUA
RNAcentral lists this ribosomal RNA (1253 nucleotides) under metagenome. Its description in RNAcentral is "bacterial SSU rRNA". It matches the Rfam family "Bacterial small subunit ribosomal RNA", at positions 254 to 1498 of the family's 1533-position model. The record is from RNAcentral.